RNAcentral lists this ribosomal RNA (444 nucleotides) under Listeria monocytogenes. RNAcentral's name for it is "bacterial SSU rRNA". It matches the Rfam family "Bacterial small subunit ribosomal RNA", at positions 1034 to 1479 of the family's 1533-position model. The record is from RNAcentral. Lineage: Bacteria; Bacillati; Bacillota; Bacilli; Caryophanales; Listeriaceae.
ACAGGUGGUGCAUGGUUGUCGUCAGCUCGUGUCGUGAGAUGUUGGGUUAAGUCCCGCAACGAGCGCAACCCUUGAUUUUAGUUGCCAGCAUUUAGUUGGGCACUCUAAAGUGACUGCCGGUGCAAGCCGGAGGAAGGUGGGGAUGACGUCAAAUCAUCAUGCCCCUUAUGACCUGGGCUACACACGUGCUACAAUGGAUAGUACAAAGGGUCGCGAAGCCGCGAGGUGGAGCUAAUCCCAUAAAACUAUUCUCAGUUCGGAUUGUAGGCUGCAACUCGCCUACAUGAAGCCGGAAUCGCUAGUAAUCGUGGAUCAGCAUGCCACGGUGAAUACGUUCCCGGGCCUUGUACACACCGCCCGUCACACCACGAGAGUUUGUAACACCCGAAGUCGGUAGGGUAACCUUUAUGGAGCCAGCCGCCGAAGGUGGGACAGAUAAUUGGG